UAUAGAACUCGAGAUAUAGGCUAAACACCGAAUAAUGUCUAAGCUGCAAGAUAAAUUAAGACUUUUAUUUUGUUGCUAAGAUUUGAACUUGAAAACAACAAUAUUGAAUCUUGGACUCUUCAUGAAUGUUUUAGGGUCAUGUCUUAGCUUUCAUC
Populus trichocarpa (black cottonwood) is the source of this 155-nucleotide non-coding RNA. Lineage: Eukaryota; Viridiplantae; Streptophyta; Magnoliopsida; Malpighiales; Salicaceae. The record is from Rfam.